This 433-nucleotide ribosomal RNA is filed under the name Weissella paramesenteroides. RNAcentral describes it as "bacterial SSU rRNA". It matches the Rfam family "Bacterial small subunit ribosomal RNA", at positions 958 to 1392 of the family's 1533-position model. The record is from RNAcentral. Lineage: Bacteria; Bacillati; Bacillota; Bacilli; Lactobacillales; Lactobacillaceae.
AACGCGAAGAACCUUACCAGGUCUUGACAUCCCUUGCUAAUCCUAGAAAUAGGACGUUCCCUUCGGGGACAAGGUGACAGGUGGUGCAUGGUUGUCGUCAGCUCGUGUCGUGAGAUGUUGGGUUAAGUCCCGCAACGAGCGCAACCCUUAUUAUUAGUUGCCAGCAUUCAGUUGGGCACUCUAGUGAGACUGCCGGUGACAAACCGGAGGAAGGUGGGGAUGACGUCAAAUCAUCAUGCCCCUUAUGACCUGGGCUACACACGUGCUACAAUGGCAUAUACAACGAGUCGCCAACCCGCGAGGGUGCGCUAAUCUCUUAAAGUAUGUCUCAGUUCGGAUUGUAGGCUGCAACUCGCCUACAUGAAGUCGGAAUCGCUAGUAAUCGCGGAUCAGCACGCCGCGGUGAAUACGUUCCCGGGCCUUGUACACACCG